Molecule: long non-coding RNA, 167 nt
Organism: Bufo bufo (common toad)
Lineage: Eukaryota; Metazoa; Chordata; Amphibia; Anura; Bufonidae
Exons: 3
Source: RefSeq, a predicted model, not a curated record
UGCCGACAAGAAUAGGACAUGUUCUACUUUUUGCGGAGCCACGGCCCGGAAAUGCGGAUUCGGAGAGCACAUAAGUGUGCUCUCCGUAUCUCUUCUGGACCCAUAGAGAAUUAAUGGGUCCGCACCCGUUCCCGAUAUUGCAGAACAGAUGCGGACCCAUUUGCGGA